CCUACGGGCUGCAGCAGUAGGGAAUCUUCCACAAUGGGCGAAAGCCUGAUGGAGCAACGCCGCGUGGGUGAAGAAGGUCUUCGGAUCGUAAAACCCUGUUGUUAGAGAAGAAAGUGCGUGAGAGUAACUGUUCACGUUUCGACGGUAUCUAACCAGAAAGCCACGGCUAACUACGUGCCAGCAGCCGCGGUAAUACGUAGGUGGCAAGCGUUAUCCGGAUUUAUUGGGCGUAAAGGGAACGCAGGCGGUCUUUUAAGUCUGAUGUGAAAGCCUUCGGCUUAACCGGAGUAGUGCAUUGGAAACUGGGAGACUUGAGUGCAGAAGAGGAGAGUGGAACUCCAUGUGUAGCGGUGAAAUGCGUAGAUAUAUGGAAGAACACCAGUGGCGAAAGCGGCUCUCUGGGCUGUAACUGACGCUGAGGUUCGAAAGCGUGGGUAGCAAACAGGAUUAGAUACCCGAGUAGUC
This 465-nucleotide ribosomal RNA is filed under the name uncultured bacterium. RNAcentral's name for it is "partial 16S ribosomal RNA". It matches the Rfam family "Bacterial small subunit ribosomal RNA", at positions 338 to 795 of the family's 1533-position model. The record is from RNAcentral.